This 61-nucleotide transfer RNA is filed under the name Hydraena riparia. RNAcentral describes it as "tRNA-Cys". Lineage: Eukaryota; Metazoa; Arthropoda; Insecta; Coleoptera; Hydraenidae. The record is from RNAcentral.
AGUCUUAUAUUCAACAAUGAUUUUAAAUUGCAAAUUUAAAGGUGGGGCAGCCCUAAGGCUU